UUGGAGUGACUGGAGAGAUUCUUCCAUUGGGAGAAUAAACAAAAACCUUAAAGAUAACGCUGAGCUUUUACAUACCACUGAAUUCACCCUGACGCCAAUGGACCUUAAGGCAUUUGUCAUAAGAGAUAAGAAACGAAAUCAUCUGAUAUUUAAAACACCAGAUCAUAUCGAUGAGGAGUCGGAAUCCUUUUUUCAUAAUUUCACUGAAGGAGGAUGGUGGGUUGGGAAUCGAACCACUUCAUAUCUGAACGGUGUCUACGGGUCUCCACGAUGGAGGAACAUCUGGCUUCCUCACAUAACUUCAGGAGAAGAUUUUCUUUCCUCCCAGAUGAUGGUUCGUCGUAACAUACGUCAAUAGAUGUUGCGACUCUU
Molecule: long non-coding RNA, 372 nt
Organism: Saccostrea cuccullata (small rock oyster)
Lineage: Eukaryota; Metazoa; Mollusca; Bivalvia; Ostreida; Ostreidae
Exons: 2
Source: RefSeq, a predicted model, not a curated record